GCUGGCGCCAAUAGAGAGGGUGAUACACCUGUUCCCAUCCCGAACACAGAAGUUAAGCCCCUCAUCGCCGA
This 71-nucleotide ribosomal RNA is filed under the name Spirochaetae bacterium HGW-Spirochaetae-10. The record is from RNAcentral. Lineage: Bacteria; Pseudomonadati; Spirochaetota.